CCUACGGGAGGCAGCAGUGGGGAAUAUUGCACAAUGGGGGAAACCCUGAUGCAGCAACGCCGCGUGAAGGAAGAAGGGUUUCGGCUCGUAAACUUCUAUCGAUAGGGACGAAAGAGAUGACGGUACCUAAAUAAGAAGCCCCGGCUAACUACGUGCCAGCAGCCGCGGUAAUACGUAGGGGGCAAGCGUUAUCCGGAAUUACUGGGUGUAAAGGGAGCGCAGGCGGCCUGCCAAGUCUGGUGUGAAAACCCGGGGCCCAACCCCGGGCCUGCAUUGGAAACUGGCGGGCUGGAGUGUCGGAGGGGCAGGCGGAAUUCCUAGUGUAGCGGUGAAAUGCGUAGAUAUUAGGAGGAACACCGGUGGCGAAGGCGGCCUGCUGGACGAUGACUGACGCUGAGGCUCGAAAGCGUGGGGAGCAAACAGGAUUAGAUACCCGAGUAGUC
This 443-nucleotide ribosomal RNA is filed under the name uncultured bacterium. Its description in RNAcentral is "partial 16S ribosomal RNA". It matches the Rfam family "Bacterial small subunit ribosomal RNA", at positions 338 to 795 of the family's 1533-position model. The record is from RNAcentral.